Molecule: non-coding RNA, 1436 nt
Organism: Ictidomys tridecemlineatus (thirteen-lined ground squirrel)
Lineage: Eukaryota; Metazoa; Chordata; Mammalia; Rodentia; Sciuridae
Source: RefSeq, a predicted model, not a curated record
GUCCAGGGCCUGCCUGUAUGCGGACCCAGAGGAGUUUAAUUCCGUGUGGCGCAGGACUGGGCUUGAGAUUUGGGAGGAGCUGAAGCUCACUCCGAUGCUCUUCCUCACCCCGAUUGUCAUCUAUCAUUUUGAUCCCACUGGUUUCUCAGCGGCUGGGUUUUGAGUUUCACUCCCUCUCUGUGUGUGCCGGCUGCCUGAGGGUGUCACACCACAAAGCUCCUUCUCAGGGCUGUUGGAACAAGGAACACUCACUCCAUCUUACCCCCACUCCCGGGAGGCCUUUGAGGAGCAAGUUUGAAACACUCUGCAUCCCAAACGCCUGGUAGAAGGGCAGAUUUUUGGAGGAAGACUUUUCAGUUUGAUGGUCUCCAACCACCGAGUGCCAGCAGUGUUGCCCCCACUUCCAGUGACAACCACAAACUCCCCUAUUACUGGGUUCUCUGUAAGCUUAGGUCCAUCCCACCUGAGAACAGCAAACUGACCUGAACAGCCCUCUGGCUUGGAGAGGGGACAGGAUGGGUUUCUGCACAAUUCCCAGGAGCAGGAAUGCCAUCAUCUCAAAGAUGCACAUCCUUUCCUUGAUAACCUUCCCCCUGCAGGUUUUCAUGUCACUUGGAGAGUGGCAAGUGCUGUAGACCCUGGAAGUUGACUGCAAGGAGGGUCUCUCUUCCCGUUUCUGAAGUCCUUGAGUUGCAGGUUUGAACAGGAAAGAAAAAGGGAAAAGGCCCUGGAGGCUCCAAGCAUUUGAGGACCACGCUGGCGGUUCCUCCCACACCGCUGGAAUUGCAGGGGGAGACCCAAACAAAGGUCAAUACCAAGUUGGGCUGAGGGACUGCAGCUGCAGGUGAACCUGGCCAGGGCUCAAGACUGAUUGUGAGUUUUCGGCGGACACAACAGCUUUAUUUGGUGCUGAGUUUCGAACCCAGGCCGCACGCAUGCCAGGCGAGCGCGCUACCGCUUGAGCCACAUCCUCAGCCCGGCAGAGAGUAUUUCAGGCAUGAAAAUGAAAAUGAGCUGGGUGACUGAUGAGUGACAGAGCAAUGAGAGGGCUCAGGCCAGGAGGAGAGGAUGGAGGUCUGACAGAACUUCAAAUGUCCCCUGGUUCUUUUAUGAUCCCUCAGUCAGGCCAAAGGCAAGCAUUUUAAGAAAUAAUUCACGGUCUAUAACUUAAUCCAUAUCACCACUUGCAGAGACAACAGGAGGAGUGCUGGCUCAGCCUUGGGGACUCUCUCUGCAUCCCACCUCCAGCUGCCCUGCAGGAGCAAACAGGAGGGGCCAGUCCUUCCCUGAUGGAGGCAUCCUUAGGGGGAUCAGGAGGCUCUCUCUUCUAUUGAUUUAGUCUAGCCUCACUUCUUCCAAGAAGGCACUAAUUUGUUAUUGUCCCACUCCCAUCCCCACACAUCAUAUCUUGGGUGGAAAAAUUAUUUGCUACUUGA